UACGUAGGGUACAAGCAUUAAUCGGAAUAAUUGGGCGUAAAGGGCGCGUAGGCGGAAGCGUAAGUCAGAUGUGAAAUACCAAAGCUCAACUUUGGUGCUGCAUUUGAAACUGCGUUUCUUGAGGAUUGACGGAGAAAGCGGAAUUCCACGAGUAGCGGUGAAAUGCGUAGAUACGUGGAGGAACACCGGUGGCGAAAGCGGCUUUCUAGUUUUUACCUGACGCUGAGGCGCGAGAGCAAGGGGAGCAAACAGG
This 253-nucleotide ribosomal RNA is filed under the name uncultured bacterium. RNAcentral's name for it is "partial 16S ribosomal RNA". It matches the Rfam family "Bacterial small subunit ribosomal RNA", at positions 524 to 776 of the family's 1533-position model. The record is from RNAcentral.